AUGUCAGGAAACCUCGCAUUCCCUAGCCUGGCGGUGGCAAAGAUGAUGCGACGUUGGAACUAUCAAGAAGGCUCGGGUCUCGGUGCACAUGGGCAAGGGAUCAUCGCGCCUAUACAAUUCACCGCGCGGUGUCCAAAAGCUGGCAUCGGUCAUUGUGAGAAACCAUAUGACAACGGCUUAUACGUUCCGUCGUUGCCACAUGCGGAAGAGGAGUGGCAUAAGUGGAAGGGUCUUUCACGAGCCUUGCGGCUUGAAGUAGAGUGCUACUAAAAGAUCCUCUCACUGCUACGUGACAUGACGCUUCAAGGGGACGAUAGCGUGGAGACGGCGGCCGCAUUGGCGGUGAUCGUUAAUUCCAAGAAGGUGAUCCAGGGGAACCGCACACUAGGGAUGUGGAAGGCCACACUGCCAUCCUCCACCUUGCAGUACAUCAUCGAGCAGGUGAUCAUGCCGAGGAUGGCCAUGGAUGCACGAGAGUGGAUGCCAUCGUGGGAUCCAGACUGUCACCACUGGCUUCGCCCAUUGAUUCCUCUCAUCGGCAACUUACCACGAUCUCUUUAUGACAUUGUUGAAAGCAAGAUAAGCAAUGGCGGCUAUGAUGUUGUCUCGCCAUGGAAGGAAUACCUUGACCCAACACAGUGGGAUACCUUCAGCCAACGUCACAUCUUGCCGAAGCUAGCACGGUUCACACGGGGGCUAAGGAUCACGCCACCGAAGCAAACCGACUCCUCGUUUCGCACGUUGAUGCUAUGGGCACCUCUAGUGCAUGUUGAAGACAUGGUAUUGAUACUAGAAGCUGAGCUAUUUUUCGAUAAAUGGGAAGGUGCGCUGCGACACUGGUUGCGGGCCGCGAAACCCUCGUUUGGGGAGGCCACCGCAUGGUACACCGGCUGGAAAAAACUCUUCACGCCAGAGCUACUUGCCAACGAAUGGGUGCUCGCACAUCUCGAAGCUGGCGGUGGCAUUGUUGACAGUCUUGUAGAUUAUACUUGGUAG
RNAcentral lists this ribosomal RNA (996 nucleotides) under Triticum aestivum (bread wheat). Its description in RNAcentral is "partial small subunit ribosomal RNA". Lineage: Eukaryota; Viridiplantae; Streptophyta; Magnoliopsida; Poales; Poaceae. The record is from RNAcentral.